Molecule: long non-coding RNA, 15495 nt
Filed under: Olea europaea subsp. europaea
Lineage: Eukaryota; Viridiplantae; Streptophyta; Magnoliopsida; Lamiales; Oleaceae
Source: RNAcentral
CUCCUCUCUCUAUUAAUGACUCUACCUACAUGCUCAACUCCAUAUUUCUUCCCAAUGACUUUUUGAUUUUUCUCUCCUCUCUCUGUCUGUCUGUCUUUCUCAUCUCUCAUGGGUUUUAAGAGUAACUUGUUAGUUUACACAUCAUUGGAAUGUGAGAGCAAGGAAGAAAUGGUAGCUUCCAUGCAGUUAGCUAAGGAUCAAGGAGCAGAUCUUGUGGAGCUUUGCAUUGGAUCCAUGUCUUUCUCCCACAUUUCAGAGAUUGAACAACUCUUAAAACAAAGAAUUUUACCUUCAAUUGUCUCCUUCAGGUAUGUACUAAUAAUUUUAUCUUCAUCCCAUUUCUCUCUGGUAACUUUUUUAUGUAAGUAUAAACAAGAGAAACAGGUGAAGAGUCCUCUUCUCGACUCGCAUAUGAUUUAAAUUUUAAGUGGUGUGAGUUGUUUUGAAAUCACAAUGAAAAUCCUUGCUACAUUAAGUGAGCAAGUGCCCAGCAAACACCUUUACGCUUCUCAAAAAGGAUGUCUAUAACAAAGUAUGAAUUAGGAAUGAUGCGAAUGGAUUUGGAUUGGAGACACGACGUGGGAUAUUGUUUUAGGUAUCGAUGCUACACCAAUGUAGUUUUCAAGCAACUACUUCGGCCAAACAAGAUAGCAAGGCAAGCUCUCCUAGUUGAAGUUCAUAAACUAUAAGUUAGAAUCUUAUCGUCUCAUUAAGACGUACGGACUCGAUGAGUCCUUAUAUAGUGGCUAGAUAACGAGUAGAACCUAAUAACGUGUUCAUAAUUCAUAGGCUCCCAUGUAGAAGUAGGUCAUUAGCAAAACUUGAGACAGUGAAUUAGUUUUCGAUUGAGAUAAAUUAUUGAAAAACCUAAUCUCUAUAUUUUAAGAUUUUCUCAUGUAUUUUUUAAAAGGAAAGUUUUAGUCAACUCAUUGGAAGAGUAGAUAGGUCAUACCAAAGAAGUGCACAUGAUAGGAAAUAUGCAUCACAAAAAGUUAUAUUUAAGGUCAUUUACAUUUGUUCAUUGUAGAACUCAUGUUCUUAACCUUCUUUUUUUUUUUUUUUUAAAUCAAAUUCUUAUCUUCAACUUUUUACUAAUUAACAAAUCUCAUCCUUGAUCAAAACAUUUUGUUUCCGUACUUUGAAAUCGAGGAAAAAUAUUUUGUCCCAAUUUUCUAUUAUUGAAUUUUAAUUCUCAAUCACUCAUCUCCGAGUAUUAAUUAUGUGUAUUUUAUGGGAAAAACGUGGACCCUUGAUUUUGAUUUGAUAAUGAACUAUGAGCACUUAUCUCCUCGAAUUUGGAAUGAUGUACUUAAAUGAUGAAGACAUUGUCUGCUCAUGUUGUGGACAUGGUUAAGUGGGGGGAUAGAUUCCUCAUAAAUAUGACCCACCAUUACGUGAUACUGUUCAGCCAACUUCUACGAUCUUACUUCAAUUACGGUACAUCUCUCAACACAAUCCUAAUGUUAUUCUUUAAUUCUCAACCACUCAUCUCUCAAUAUAAUAAUUUUGUACCAACAUUUUAGUAAUUAAUUGAAAAUUGAUAAUCUCAAAUAUAUUACUUAUUUCUAAUAAUUUCUUAUUUAAUUGAGACCAGUGGCAGAUCUAAGUGGUGGCGAGUUAGAGCGAUCUUCGUCGGGGUGAAUUUUUUUCCUGAUAAUAAAUAGAAUUUUUAGAUUAUAUUAUAUAAUUAAUAAUUCAUAUUAACAACAAAUUUUUUUGGUAGCUCAGUUGGUUAGCUUUUUCACUAUUGAAUUGAAGAUCUUGUGUUCGAAACUCUUAAGUAUAAUAUUUUUUAUAAUUUUUACUAAAACAAAUGCAAGGAAGGUAAUUUGAACUUGCUACAUUCCUCAAAUAUAUUAACCACUUUACCAUCAUGACACUUGCUGAUUUUUAGCACACAAUGUAACAAAAUAUUAUAUAUUCAAUUUUACUGGUUUAAUGCAAGUAGAAACAUUUUAAUCGGUGCUUUGUCUCUCUUCUUGAUUUUCUUUUUCUUUUUUUUCCCCUCUAAUCAAAUGAUUUGAUAGUUUUGUCAAUUAAUGGUAGAUGAAUUUGUAGAAAAAAUAGCCUUAGUCUCAUAAAAAAUCUUUCAGCAAAACUUAUUUAAUUAAUAAAAGGUUUUACUUUUCAUUCACAAAAAAUCGGUUGCAAAAAAGUGAAAUCAUACAAGCACAUAAAAUUAAUAUAAGUACAUAAAUAAUUUUAAUUGUAUUAAUAUAACUAAUAUUGACAUUUUGUUAAUAUAUAUUGCCUAUUUAAUUGAAAAAUAAAUUAGGGUAUUUUGCAAAUUAUGGAACAGUUUUUUUUAUUCAAAAUGAAAGUUCGUACAUAGUUAUAGUUAUAGUGGUGUAUCUAGUUUUUCUAGUUCUUAAUCCGUACGAUUUUUUGAAUAUUAUUUAAUUAAAUAUUAAUAAACAACCCCGCUAUCACGGACGUUGGCCAUCGAUAGUAAACUUUCAACGCUCGCAGUUCGCUCUAGCUGAACUCGACCCCUGGAUUCACCCUUGACUGAGACAAUCUAUUAUCUGGGGUGAACUAAGAUGGGCCAUUAAUCAAAUCCAAUAAAAAAAAGGAGGUUUCUUUUAGGAAAAUGAUUAAGAAAAAUGAUUCCAGGUGAACCGAGAAGGAUAAAAUUGCAGUAUCUAUACAAUAAUUCUACUAGAGGAUAUGCUAUUUCCAAAAAAAAUAAAAAUAAAAUAAUUUCAUGUAAUUAACGGCAUGAAACACAAUUUUCUAUUUUGUUAUAGCGAAUCUCUAGUGGAAAGAAUUGCUCGUAAUGAAAAUCAAGCUGUUCGUGUUUGUCCAAGCUUAAGAAAAGUUUGCUUAUAAGUACUAAAGUAAGUUCUAAAAUUAAUAAAUUUCUUUGUUGACAUCCGAACUCCGACAUAAUAAAAACAGUUCGCUAAUCCCACCUCAGUUAAAUGUAAGUUCGGCCCAUACUCUCAGGUCGGACAAACCCGUCGUUCUCUCAGAAAAACAUCAUGAUUACCCCUUGUUACAUCACCCUAUCAAUCAAAUACACUUACCACAGGUGACAUCAUCGCCACCCAGAACAACCAAUUACAACCCCUCGAACUCCAACUCCUUACAGGUCAUCAUUACCUGGGUAAUACAUUGACACAUGAUCACCGCCUUCAUCGACCAAUUACAGGAGAAUUUGGCGACCCGAGUUUCGAGCUCGACACUGUUGCUGAUUUGAAUGAUUUGAUGUAACUUUGGUUGAAACUAUGUAUAAAUAGUUGAAUAUGACUCUUGUAAAAGACAAGUGAACUCAUAUAACGACUUAUGGCACAAUCACACUUAAAAAACAUUUUUUAUGGUCUUUUUCAAGCUUAAAUCACCUUUUUUCUUAAAACUGGUUUUAAAUUAUCCUUGCUAAUUUUGACGUCAGCGGUUUGGCACUAGAAGGAGGGCCCUAAUUGUGAAAAAUAGUCUCAUUCGCUCCACAAAAAUUUCAAGAGUCACGAGUCAUAGCUCAAGUUCCAGAAAUCCAUCUCACACCCACCCUCAUGAAACGAGUAUACCACUGAAUUCUCCACAAUGGCAGGACCCUCAAAUGACCACAAUGAGGGAAGCCUUGAAAAAAUUGACAAAUGCAGUGGGACGACUGGAAAGGAGCCAAGCCUAUUCGUCCCCACCAGAUACCGAGGUGGAAUCUCCCUUGUAAGGACAAAGGCAAGGCAUCCCCCCAUCAGGAGGACCCUCCACUUUUCAAGAGGAGAAUCAUCAAGAAGUUGAACUGACGAGGCCAAAAGCAAGAAACCCGGGGUGGGAAGGACUGCAAGUGUGUUCGACAGAUUGGGGACCCAUCACUCGCUGACUCCUACGCAAGGACAAACCGACCUGAAAUGUCUUUUGGAAUAAACAGAACCCGAAUUAAGCGCGCUUAAAAAAUGUAUCGCCGAACUGGAGGCUAAAAACAAAGGUGGCACUGAAGGUUACCAAACCAAACGACAUUCCCCCUUCACCGAGGAUGUCCUUAUGGAACCAUAACUUGAAAAAUUGAAAAUUCUCCAGAUCGCCGCAUACUAAGGGGAUGGUGAUCCCCUCAGCCAUCUUGACAAAUACAUCUUGUAGAUGGAACUACAGGGAGCAAGCAACGCAAUCAUAUGCCGGACAUUUCCCUCGACUCUGGGAGACAAAGCCCAAAGAUGGUUUAGGAGACUACACGAGAGGUCGAUUAAGGAUUGGAAUGAUCUGACAACGGCAUUCUUGGUCCAGUUCAUGGGCUCCAAGGCCAGAACCACACCCAAAGAACGUCUAGUGAGUAUCAAGUAGGGAAGAAGUGAAUCCCUCAAAAGCUAUCUGAGCAGGUUCAACAAGCAAUCCAUGGAAGUGGAAAACAUAUCUGAUGAUGCAGAACUCAUGGCUGUAUUAGCAGGACUAAGACCCAAAACAAGAUUCUGGUGGUCAGUACACGAGGACGAUCCGAGGACUUAUCACGAGUUCCUGAAUCGAGCUGAGAAAUACAUAAGCGCUGAAGAACCAACCUCUGACCAAGAGAAAGCAAGACGCGAAACUGACCUCAGCGAUAUGAUGAAAGAAAAAAAACCAAGACGUAGUCCCCAGCCCGAAAGAAAGAAGGACAGAAGAGAAAGAGAACGUCCCAGGGCUCAGCCAUACAAGUUCCGGGAGUACCACCCACUCAAAGCCUCAUUGGAAGAGACAUUCAUGCAAGCCAAUACAAAAGAGGCAUUUCGCAGACCUAUAAUUCUAAAGGAUCGACAGACAGGACAACGCCAGGGAUGAUACUGCCGAUACCACAGGAUGAUGGGCCAUGACACUGAUAAUUGUCGGGACUUUAAAGAGAAAGUUGAAUCCUUAAUUCGAAGAGGUCGGUUACAGGAGUUUGUUGCCAAGCCAAAAGAAGCAGAUCAACCUACGACGUAGCAGCCAUUGCUACAGGGGGCUCCCACACGAGCCCAGCAGGCAAUCCCUAACCGUAACCCACCCGCACAUGCCGAAAUCAAAAUGAUGAUGGGCGGAAAUCAGUGUAUUGAAGGAUCUAGAAGGGCCAGGCGAAGGCAAGCCCGAAGUGCAAAAACCGUACCGAACUAUUGAAAUCAAACCCCUAAGACCUGCAUAGACCCUGAAUCGUUCUGGUUCACGGAAGAAGAUUUUGAAGGAAUCCUUCAAGACCAGAGUGACACCCUGGUGGUCACAAUGAUGGUUGUUGGAGUAAAAGUCCACCACACUCUAGUGGACAAUGGAAGUUCGGUCAACAUACUGUACUCACGAACCUUGAGGCAGUUGAAAAUAUCAGUCCGCUACCUCCAACCAUAUCCAAGGAAGCUACAGGGAUUUUUUAGGGAUCCUAUCGAAGCCCUAGGUCAGAUCGUCCUUAUUGUGGAGCUGGGCGAAGCUUCUCGCUAAAGAAGGAUCGUAGCGAAUUUUGUGGUGGUCGAUUUGCCGUCCAAUUACAAUGCAAUAUUGAGACGGCCCAUUUUGCUCGAACUAAAAGCUGCCAUGUCAAUUUAUCAUUAUUGCGUGAAAUUCCCCACUCCUUAUGGGACUGGAAUUACCCAAGGAGAUCAAGUUACUGUAAAGGCCUGCAACGUCAACCUGGCAAGACCACAAGUCAAUAUGCUAAGGAGUAGAAUGAACAUGCAAGUCGAGGAAGCCAGAUCGAAGAGACCAAUCGUUGCGGAUCUCUCGGAGAUCGGCAUAACGGAAAAGAAUCUCAAAAAAGCUACAGAUGAGCAACUGUCCUUUGACGAGAAGGAGGCGGACCCACAUCCUUACCACGGAGUUAUGGUAAUCUUGUUGCCUGUGGCCGGGGUAACUAUCCCCAAAGUCUUGGUGGAUACAGGAAGCGCUCUGAACAUCCUAUUCAGCAACACCCUUAAAUGAAUGGAUAUCCCUGCUAACUUCCUUCCACCAUACCCAAAUAUGGUCCUAGUAUUAAGCGGAGCCUUGACUUCUGCCAAAGGAUCAAUCAAACUCAAAGUUGAGUUUGGAUCAGCACCCCGGCAGGUGAAGACGAACUCCGAGUUCGUGGUGUUCGACACCCCUUCACCUUAUGACGCUGCGAUGGGAUAGCUCCUACUCUUCAACCUAAGAGCAGCAUUUUCCCUAUAUCAAUAUUCUAUCAAGUUCCCCACACUCCAUGGUGUGGGGGAAGUCAAAGGAAACAGGGAACUCGCUGAAAGAUGUCAAUGGACAACCUGUGCCAGCCAUCAACGUAACUCCCCGAGAGUAUAUAUGACAAACAUAUAGGAAUCCAAACUCAUUUCCUUAGACCCACGGACCAGUAUCGAAAGCGGAGAACCCGUUAAAGAACUAGAAGGAGUUUGAGUCUGUGCCAAGGACCAAACAAAGGAGCUCAAAGUCGGGUGCGCGCUACAACCCUCCACCCGGAGCAAGAUUGUGGCUUUCCUUAAACAGAACCUUGAUGUCUUCGCUUGGGAGCACAGUGACAUGAGAGGAAUAGAUCCCAGUAUUGCAUGCCACAAAUUACAGGUGGAUCCUUCAAUUCGGCCAAAGCAGCAAAAACGAUGACCUCUGAACCCUGAAAGAUAUGAAGUACUCAACAAAGAGGUGCAAAAGCUGUUGACCAACGGUUUCCUCCGUGAAGCGAAAUAUCCGAAGUGGGUCGCGAAUUCGGCCCUUGUGAAAAAACACAACGGAGAUUGGAGGGUAUGCAUAGAUUUCACCGAUCUCAACAAAGCAUGCCCCAAAGACAGCUUUCCAUUGUUGAGAAUAGAUCAAAUGGUGGACGCCACUGUCGGACAUGAGCUACUUAGCUUCAUGGACGCGUAUUCUGGAUACAACCAGAUACUGAUGUAUGGCCCAAAUCAGGAACAUACCUCAUUUUUAACUAACUGAGGUCUUUACUGCUACAGAGUAAUGCCAUUUGGUCUAAAAAACGCUAGCGCCACCUACCAAUGACUUGUGAAUUCCAUGUUUUCCCAGUAGAUCGGAAAGAUAAUGGAAGUGUAUGUUGAUGAUAUGCUGGUCAAAAGCAUCAAGGCUAAGGACUACUGUUAGCACCUGAUCGAAAUGUUUGAUAUACUGAGAAAGUAUGGAAUGAAGUUGAACCCGAGGAAAUGUGCUUUCGGGGUCAGUUCUGGAAGAUUCCUAAGUUACAUUAUAAACAACCGAGGAAUCGAGGUAAAUCCUGAAAAAAUACAAGCUGUCAUCAAAAUGAAGCCUCCAACCAAACCCAGAGAGGUAAAAUGUUUAACCAGAAGGGUUGCCGCCCUCAGUCAGUUCGUCUCCAAAUCUACGGACCGCUGCAAACCCUUCUUCGACACUUUACGAGGAGGAAAGAAGUUCCAAUGGACUAAAGAAUGCUAGGACGCCUUUAACGAGCUAAAGAGACCCCAUCAUAAAUACUCCACUGCGCAAACUAAACCCAGUAAUAGCACCUUGGCCCUUUGCAAAAUGGAGGGUCAACCUAAUUGGACUCAUGCCCAUUGGAAAAGGAGGGGUAAAAUUCGUCAUCGUCGCAGUGGAUUACUUCACUAUGGGUCGAGGCAGAGCCCCUUGCCACCAUCACUGAACAAAAAAAACCAACUUUUUGUGGAAAUCAGUGAUAUGUAGGUUCAGCAUACCUCACUCCAUUGUUGCGGAUAAUGGAAAACAGUUCGACAAUGUACAACUUUCGAAUUUCUGUGAAGAGUUCGGCAUCAAGAAACAUUUCUCAUCACCGAACCAUCCACAGGCAAACGGCUAAGUCAAAGCCAUUAACAAGAUUAUUAAGCACACAUUGAAAGCAAAACUCGACUUGUUUAAAGGAGAAUGGGCCAAAGAACUCCCCAGUGUGCUAUGAUCUUAUCGGACUACUGCAAGGACGAGCACGCAUAGAGGCCGUGAUCCCACUAGAAAUCAACAUUCCCUCGCUGCGCAUAACUGAUUACGACAAAGAAAUGAACCACAUAGCUCUUCGCACGGAACUCGACCUAAUCGAGGAGAAAAAGGAAUGACGUCGAACUCAAGAAUACCGUUUACAAACAGCGGAACGCCAAUUGCUACAAUCAAAAAGUGCGAAAAAGAGAAUUUGAGGUAGGAUCCCUCGUCUUACGGAAGGUAUUCCUCCCCACAAGAGAGAUCGACAGCGGAUGCCUGGGUCUGAAUUGGAAAGGUCCUUAUCUGAUAACGAAGGUCCUGCUAAAAGGGGCAUAUGAACUGGAAGACUUAGGGGGUGGGCCGUUAUCCCAUCCUCGGAAUGUCGAACAUCUUAAGCAGUACUAUCAGUAAACGAAAAAAGCCCAUAUAAAGCCCCAUUGUAAUGUCAAUCACAUCAAUAAAAAGGGACUUCCUAUUUUUGAACAUUUUAUUCAGCAAUCUGUUGGAAUCUUAUAAAGCCCUACUCCAUACGUAGGCCGAUUUAAGGUCGUAUGUGCUGCGACACUUAGUGGAAAAUUCCUCCUAAAGAAUCUUAUAAAGCCCUGCUCCGUACGUAGGCUGAUCUAAGGUCGUACGUACUGCAACCUCUAGUGGAAAUUUUCAAGGCCCUGCUCUACACGCAGGACAAGCUAAGGUCGUAUGUGGCACUACACUUAGUAAAAAUGCCCAAUGCAUAAGCCUGGUUUGAAAAACAGGUACUGCACAACUAGGUAAAAUUUAUUCAAGGUAAUUAUACGUGCUAUUGCAACGCUCUUACAAAUUUAGCUAAGUUUGUGAGGUAUUGUGUAAAAAAAAAAAUAAAUAAAUAAAAUUAUCUUCAUCAUCUUGGGCUACCGGUAAAAAGAAACCAUACUGAACAUAUACAAUUAUCCAUUUUAAACAAAAUGUCAUAAAAAGUCAAAACAAAGUUCACUUAUAAGCUAAGAACAUAUUGGAAAACUAAAUACCAAAAACAAUAUUUUUAAUCGCCUAGGGGUCCUGAGGGGCUGGGAUGUUAUCUUCAAUAUCCUGGGCUGCCGAUAAUACCCGAACUCCUACAGACUCAGACAACCUCCGCAGCUCCUCCUUCUGACCCUCCAGCACCUUAUCCAGAAAGGCCAUAUCAAAAUCAGGCCUCUCCUUCCUGAUGUGCCUCGCCAGCUCCUCCAGUGCUACCACGUAGACAUCCUGGGCUAUGACGUCAAACUCGAAGGACUCCUUCCAGGCCUCCACCACUCUGUCAACCUUGGCCUCAGCCUCUUUAGCCCUUUUGGUGGCCUCUCUUGUCCUUUCAUUGGUCCCUUAUACCUUCUGGAUGGCCCCUCUGACUUUGCUGCUUUCCUCUUCUGCCCGAGCUCUGGCCUCUUCCUCCGAGGCCCUCAAUGCCUUGAUCUCUCCCAUCAAUCUCUCCUCAACAUCGAUCCUGGAGUUCAGCUCGAUCCCCAUCUGAUUCAGCUUCUCUUCAUACUCCUUCUCUUUCAGAGCGAACUGGACCUUUUCAGCCUCCAUGCUGUUAUAAAGAUUGAAGGCCUGAUCAUUUGCCUCUAGGAGUUUGCCCAGCUCGGAUUUCACCUAUUUUUCAAAAAUAAAAAAUCAAGUAAGUUAUUAAAACAGUUAUAAAAUUGAUCAAAAGUUAAGUAAUAGGUAUACCUUAUCCACCACUGCCAUCAUGUAUAAAACUGAUUGGUGACCAUGGAGCUGAGCAGUGACCAAUGCCUCACCAAUGGGCAUCUCAUUCAGAUAGCCCUGCUCUCUCUCACCCUAGCUUCGGGUAAGCAUAUUGGCUGACUCCCUCAAUGGUGAAGUGAGUGCGACAGUUAUUCCCCUGGAAGAAGAAGGAGCUCGGAGAUAAUCUAAAAAUAUCUCUAGUCGGUAUCCCACCAAACUUUCCUAGCUUUGCCUCUGUAAAUCUGGGCACCGAUCCUGCAAGUUCGCAAAACUGGUCCCUACAGCAGAGGGGGCAGUUGGGGAAGGCAAAGAAGGAAACGGCAAGGUAGGGCUUGGUAAAGGCACUGCCUUAGGAAUCCUCAGUGCUACCGGGGGCGCAGAUCGAUUACUCUUCAAUGGAACCUCCUCCUUCACCUCUUUAGAACGGCUCUCCAACCGUUCUGGGACAUCUCUCUUUUUUCCUUUGGCCGCAGCCGCUGCCUUGUAGCCCCGCAUCUUGUCUUGAUGAUCUGAGAAAACAGUGAAACGCUCAAUAAAUAUGUAUAUACAUAAAGAAACCACGACCACAAAUGAGGGUCAAAAUAUUACUUGAACUGGAUGGAGCCGAACUUGAAGCUCGUACUUGCAACAAACCGGACUGAUAUAAGUUCGAAUCUGAGAUCACAAACUUACAGGACCUUUGUUUUUUAGGUAAUGAUCUUAUUACCUCAGCUAAUCUCUGUGUAUCUUUGGUUAGCAUCUCCUUCUUGUAAUUUGUACAAAGGAAAAAAUACCGAGGUUAAUACUUUGUCAACAUACGCCUUGCUAAAAGACUAAAGCCCAAAAAGACACUUACAUAAAGAAAGAUAGAGCCUGGGAACCACGUCCUCCCUAUUCACCUCGAUAGAAUGAAACUGCCACUCUUUCGAUACAUAGAACCACUCUUCCUUCCAUUUCUUAAUUGAGGAAGGAGUGUCUAACACCGAAGAACCUCUCGUCCUGGGCCUAACGCUUGUGUACCACCAACCCAAGUUCUUCCCAUCAUCCUUAAAAGUAAACAGAGAAUCGAAUUGUUGGACACUUAGCUCGGGAUUCCCCAUUUGGUUACAUAGAAUAAGGGUGGCUAUUAAGAUUCGUCACCCGUUAGGGCAUAGCCGCGUGGGGGCUAUGUCCCAAGAAGAAAGGAAUUUACGAAUCGCUCUAGGAAAGAAAAGUCUAAGACCGACCUGAAAGAUAGCCGAGUUCAGAGCAACACAUUCCUCAGGAGGUGUGUCAGCUCGAUCAGAUGGUUCUGGUAUUAUCAUCACUACUGAACUAGGGAUGGCGUAUUUAGCUCGCCAGUUGGCUAACAUAUCCCCUGUUACAACCGACCUAUAAGAACUCGCCCCCCACUCCCCAAAAUUACUCUCCUCAACACCAUUACUGGAUCUACUUGCUCCCUUGGAACCCUCACAUCUGAAGUCCAUGACAGGAUGCCCUAAGUCGAUAGGGUUAAUUAUAGAAAUAGGAACAAGGGUAAAAAAUUCUUUACAACUAGAAGACGAACUCAUUGAGAAAGAGACUGACUCUUCUUGCUGGUUGCCCUAGGAAUGAACUCUAGACUCGUCCGAACUCAUGUAUAGACUAGGAAAUAAAGCACAAACUGAAAAGAGGAAGCAGAUAAGAACAGAAGAAUACCUAGGAAGCGAACUGGGAAAACGAGCUCACUCGAAUAUGGAAAUACGAACUCAGGAGAUGGCCUGAAUAUUUGAGAAAGUAAACCAGCAAAAUAGGAGGAGAAAUGACUGACCAAAAAGGAAUUUAAAGAAAGAGAAGCUGAGAGGGCACGAUCUGAACCGUUCAUCCAAAAAUGGAGGGAAAAAAUCAACGACUCAAAACCCUGAGAGACAAAACGACGUAGUCUUAGCCAAGCUUGCUAAAGAAGCUACUUAUAAAUGGCGUACAACUCAUCCACAUCAAAAGAUGACACUUGUCACAGCAAUGAAUGUUCUUUAUGGAGAAAGCAUCACUGAGGUCAGCCCCCCUACGGAAGAACUGACCUGGGGGGUAACUGUUGACAUCCGAACUCCGACCUAAUAAAAAUAGUUCACUAAUCCUCUCUUAGUUAAAUGUUAGUUCGGCCCAUACUCCCAGGUCGGACAAACCCGCCGUUAUUUCAGAAAAAUAUCAUGAUUACCCCUUGUCAUAUCACCCUAUCAAUCAAAUACACUUGCCACAAGUGAUAUUAUCGUCGCCCGGAACAACCAAUUCCAAGUCCUUGAACUCCAGCCCCUUACAGGUCAUCAUUACCUGGGUAAUACAUUGACACAUGAUCACCGGUUUCAUCGACCAAUCACAAGAGAAUUUGGCGACUCGAGUUCCGAACUCAGCACUGUUGCUGAUUUGAUUGAUUUGAUGUAAUUUCGACUGAAACUAUGUAUAAAUAGUUGAAUAGGACUCUUGUAAAAGGCAAGUGAACUCAUAUAACGACUUAUGACACAAUCACACUUAAAAGACAUUUUUUAUGGUCUUUUUAAAGCAUAAAUCGCCUUUUUUCUUAAAGUUGGUUCAAAAUUAUCCUUACUAAUUUUGACGUCAACAUUCUUUACCAAUGAAAGUUAAUGAAAAAAGAAAAAAAGAAUUACUUAUUUUAACAUGGUUAAAGUUACUUCCGAACAAACAACCUUUUUCUUACUCAUCCCAUGUUAAGAAAGAAAAAAAUAUUUAGAGAACUUUGAAUCCAAAUUAUAGGUGGUCAAACUAUUUUAUAAACACAAAUAAUAAUAAUAAUAAUAAUAAUAAUAAUAAUAAUAAUAAUAAUAAUAAUAAUAAUAAUAAUAAAAGCACCAAAACAGCUGGCUUAGCGAAAGGAGACUCAACAUGAAAGAAAGAUAAGUAAUAAGUACAUUCACCCUACUCGCUACUUUUUUAAGUUGAAAGAAGGAUAAGUAAUAAAUACAUUCACAGUGAUGGGUGCAAACAUUUUGAAUUAGGAGAUUACAAUUAAAUUUAUAAAUCAAAUAAGUUAAUAAAAAAACACAAUUUUUUUUUAGUCAUGAUCCUUACAGAGAAUGGUAAACUUAUAAGAUACAAAUGCAAACAUUAAUAUAGUAAUUAUCAACUUUGUCCAUUCUAGAUAAGGUACUUACUAUUAUCAACUACAUUGUCUUACGCCUAAGACAAUUCGUGACGUUGUUGCACAACUUGUCAUAUUUACUAUUUGCCAAAUGGAGGCUAAAUUUUAAACGUAAGCCAUCUAAGCAUUUUGUAGAAAAUGUACAAAUAAAAAAAAAAAAUUGGUGAGGCAAGUGACCCACCAUGCCCCCCGCCCGAAAUCUGCCAUUGGACAAACACAUUUACUCCAUUAAUCUUAAACCUUGAAAACUUAAAAACCCGGCAAUUGUAUAAACAAAUAUCAGCCAAUUAUAUUCACACCACAAAUUUUUUAUUUUUAUUUUUUGUUGCACCAUAUUUUAAUUACACUUAAGGUCCUCAACUUUUUUUAAUUUUAACACUUAUGCCAUAACUUUUUUCAUUGAAUUCUUAUUUUCAACCUUUGAUUUAUUAUCAUAAACAUAUUCUAUUUGCGUGCUUUGAAAUGAGAGAAACAUAAUUUGUUGCAUUUUUGUAGUUUUUUUUUUUUUUUUAAAGUAAUGUAAGAAAAAAUAAGUCAUUUCACCGUCAUCCUAAUGGACAUUCUAGACAGAAACCAUUAUUAUAGACUAGACACACUAAUUAACGUGAAGAUAAAAAUGCAUUGAAAAAGAAUUAGAAAAAUAAAUGCUAAUAAACAAAAUUUCAGGAUUUUAAGUGCAAUUAUAACGUGGUCCAAAUAAAUACUAUGCGAUAUGAAUAUAACUGUCCAAAAACUUGAACUAUAAAGUGCAUUUCAUUAAACCAUCGUAUUAAUUUUGCUUAUAAAUAAGCGAGUUCCUAACUUGUUGGCCUAGCUACAGGGGACGCCCCUUAAUUUUCUUAGUGUAAAAAAAUAAAAAAUAAAAAUCUUGUAAUUCUUUUUUUUUUAAAUUAAGUUUUUUCUACAUAUUAGUCUGAUUAAUAGUUCGAUCCUAAAUCUGUCUCCGCAUGUUGGCUCAAAGAAGGGAAACUUAUUGUAGUUUAUAGUCAUAGAUGAUCCAAAUAUGAACUUGUGUUUAUAGCUUAAAAUUUCCCCCCAAAAAAAUAAAAUAAAUUGGGGAAAAAGUCCGUCGCAAUUGUUACGUUGCCCAGGUUGCAAUUAAAUAUUUUAGGGCUCUUCCAAUGGGCUUCCAUUUUUGCACCAAUCCACAAUUUUCGAUUAUCCUGUAAUACGCUCAAGUUAACAUAAAAUUAAUGGUGGACUGAAUUGGAAAUCUGGGUUUAUCUCAGGCACAAGUGCCCUACAAAUCCAUGCAGAUGCUUGCAAGUUUUCAAAAUGGCUAUCGAAUUUGACACAGAGUUUGUGGAGAUUGACGUCGAGGUUAGUCCCCAACAUAUAAUACAUGCUUAAAAGCUAGAAAAAUUAUUAGGAAAAGCCUCCCUGCACAGGAUAUGUACAGGUGUACACACAUGAGAGUGGACCCCACACAUCCAUGUGUGUGCACCUGUUCAGGCCUGUGCAAAGGCGUGUCACAACUCUAUUAUUACUUAUCUUGGCUUAGAAAAUUAGUUUAACGCACAACCAUACGUGCUCGUAAAAUAUGUCUUAUAUUUCAGAUGGCAACUGAAGCAGUUCUUAACGAAUUUAUGAGAAAAAGAUCAAACACAAAAAUAAUUGUCUCAGGCCAUUUGAAUGGAGAAACUCCUACCACUGAAAAUCUCGGCAACUUGAUUAUAGACCUACAAUCUACUGGAGCUGAUGUUAUUAAACUUGUGGUUGAUGUGUCUUUUAUUACAGAUGUAGCACCAAUAUUCCACAUGCUCACCCAUUGCCAGGUACUAAGUAUAUAUGCUCGACUCGAGCAAAUUUAGAUACACAUCUCUCUUUUUUUUCAUUGUUGUCAAGUCGAGAUAAAUUUGUCUUCUGAUCUCUAUAGUUCAAGUUUUUAAAUGAUAGUAUGGUGACAAAUUUUUUAUUUUUUUUAUCAAAAUUCUGACACAUCGACAACUUUCGUAAAAGGUUAAUUCUAUGCAAGAGGGGACACGUUUAUUUUUUUAUGUAAAAUUUUUGAUCAUGCAUGCAGGUGCCACUAAUUGCAAGAGCAGUGGGAGAUAGAGGUCUUAUAAGCCAACUAUUGGGCCCAAAAUAUGGUGCCUUCUUAGUAUGUGGAUCUAUAGGAGACAAAUUCAUAUCUGGAUUGCCACCUUUAGGCAGCAUCAAACAAGUCUACAAGUUAGAAUAUAUGAAUUCAGACACACAAAUUUUUGGUUUAGUCUCAAAUCCUGUAGGUCAUAGCAAAGGUCCACUUCUGCAUAAUCCUGCCUUUAGACAUACAGGAUAUAAUGGAAUUUAUGUUCCUCUCUUAGUCGAUAAUGUCGAGGAAUUCUUCAAAGUUUACUCGUGCAACGACUUCACAGGCUUCAGGUACUCUCCAUUUUCUGAAACAGUUUAGCAUAUUGAUGAGCAAAUUAGUAACAUCAAUAUUAAGAUAGAUUUGAAGUGGAUGCAAAGAUUCUUAAGUAUGGCUCGUUUGUCCAAGAUUCUAGCUUUAGUUCUUCUUGAUAAUGGGCAUUCAAACUUCUAUGAAAUUAUCGUAUAAAAAAAGAAAAUCUUUGACAUGAAUUCUGAAUUCAUAAUCAAUGCAAAAUACCAAAUAAAAUGUAUUACUCUUGUCCUAUUGUCGGGCAUACUUGUGACUGGAUUUCUUUCUAAUGCAAAGACAUCUACUUUAGAGAUAUGUAUUAGUCUUCUUUGAUCACAUUUUGGAUAUAUCUAAUGUGUGAAUUUCUACGUCUUCGGUAACUUAUAGUGUUGGGAUACCACACAAGGAGGCAGUGUUAAAAUUCUGUGAUGAAGUUCAUCCCCUUGCUCAGGUAUGAAAAUUUUGCACGUCGAUUUAGUAACUUCUUAGAACAAAGCUGAGGUAUUUUCGGAGAGGCCAAGGAUAUGAUUAUUGGAGACGCUCU